AGUGAACGCUGGCGGUAGGCCUAACACAUGCAAGUCGAACGGCAGCACAGUAAGAGCUUGCUCUUACGGGUGGCGAGUGGCGGACGGGUGCGGAAUACAUCGGCAUCUACUUUUUCGUGGGGGAUAACGUAGGGAAACUUACGCUAAUACCGCAUACGACCUACGGGUGAAAGCAUGGGAUCUUCGGACCUUGCGCGAUUGAAUGAGCCGAUGUCGGAUUAGCUAGUUGGCGGGGUAAAGGCCCACCAAGGCGACGAUCCGUAGCUGGUCUGAGAGGAUGAUCAGCCACACGGGAACUGAGACACGGUCCAGACUCCUACGGGAGGCAGCAGUGGGGAAUAUUGGACAAUGGGCGCAAGCCUGAUCCAGCCAUAGCGCGUGGGUGAAGAAGGCCUUCGGGUUGUAAAGCCCUUUUGUUGGGAAAGAAAAGCAGCAGGUUAAUACCCCGCUGUUCUGACGGUACCCAAAGAAUAAGCACCGGCUAACUUCGCG
RNAcentral lists this ribosomal RNA (492 nucleotides) under uncultured bacterium. RNAcentral's name for it is "partial 16S ribosomal RNA". It matches the Rfam family "Bacterial small subunit ribosomal RNA", at positions 29 to 507 of the family's 1533-position model. The record is from RNAcentral.